RNAcentral lists this unclassified non-coding RNA (324 nucleotides) under Hevea brasiliensis (rubber tree). The record is from RNAcentral. Lineage: Eukaryota; Viridiplantae; Streptophyta; Magnoliopsida; Malpighiales; Euphorbiaceae.
AGAUGCUAUGUAAGAUGAGUUGCAUGAGAUUUUAGAGUUUUAGGAAUAUUUGAGGUGGGGAUACUGAUGCUUUUAAUCAUGAUAUGAAAGUUAUUCCAAGUCUUGGCAGUUACGUUUGAAAAAUUGGUUAUCCCUUCUUUGAAUUUGAGUGAGGCAAGUUGAUUUGCCUAAUUUCCUUUAGCAUUGCUUGAUAGAGAUCAUAGGGGUCAGGUAGUAGAACUCCCUGGCAUAUAAUCUUCCCUUUAUUGCUUUAGUUUGUGGAAAUGUUUAUCAUGUAUAAUAUACAACUCUACUCAACUAAACUAAGCUUUUAUUCCAAAAAUU